Molecule: ribosomal RNA, 255 nt
Filed under: uncultured bacterium
Lineage: Bacteria
Description: partial 16S ribosomal RNA
Rfam family: Bacterial small subunit ribosomal RNA
Source: RNAcentral
UACGUAGGGUGCGAGCGUUGUCCGGAAUUAUUGGGCGUAAAGGGCUCGUAGGCGGUCUGUCGCGUCGGGAGUGAAAACACCGGGCUUAACUCGGUGCUUGCUUUCGAUACGGGCAGGACUAGAGGUAUGCAGGGGGAGAACGGAAUUCCUGGUGUAGCGGUGAAAUGCGCAGAUAUCAGGAGGAACACCGGUGGCGAAGGCGGUUCUCUGGGCAUUACCUGACGCUGAGGAGCGAAAGUGUGGGGAGCGAACAGG